AGUGCCCAAAUAAGACAUACUUACAUGGACAAACCUGUUGUCUUGACUUUUGAGAACAGACAAUUCUUACACUUAAAGCUUCUUAGUAAGCUGACAAGAGUUGAAGUUAACAUGCCACUUGGUUUAAAGAUGAACACUGUCAAUGAAAAUGAAUAUCCGAGUUAGGCGUACAUAUUUAUUUCUGGUGAUUGUCUUAUUAAGAGCAAUAUCCUUAGCAUUUUUGCCUGCUGCUUGACUCAGUGGUACCAAGUCAUGGGAAUUCUCUCCAGGGUCAAAUGUUCCAUUUUUGAAGGUUUUUUAAAAACCUACUUUGAGAACAGAAGCAACCUGUUAGGCUUAUUUUAUGUAAUGGCGAUGCUGUCGGCAAGAGAAUGAUGAGGCUUCAUUUUAUAAGCCGAGGAGAGCGGACGCAGCCAUAUUCCGUCCUGACAGCAUUGGCCCUGGACACAAUAUCUUUCCAAUGUGGAACUGACAAGCCCCUAUGCCUUUAUCUUCAUCUUGAAUGAAAUAUAAGGUACAUGUUUGAACCUUUUCAUGAAUAAAUCUCUUAAGAUUAAUCUUAUAAUACCCAUUUCUUUAUUGUUUUUGUAGUUUAAAGCAGGGCCUCACACCCUAGCCCAGGCUGGUCUAGAACUCACUGUUUAGGAGUUGGCUCCGAAUUCAUGGCACCCACCUGUCUCAGCCCCCAGAAUAUCGGGACCCUAGGCAUGAGCCACCAUGUCUGGCUCUCCACUUCUUGAGAACUGCAGUCGUCCUCUGCCUGUUCACAGCUGCAGUCCUGCGUAAGCCAUUUCACAUAGAGAAGACCAGGUCCUGUGAUCCUCCUCCCUCAAGACCCUGCUGUUUAGAUGCAUUUCACCUCCCAUUUAUUCUUAUAGUAGGAAAUAAUCAGCCUCAGGCCUUAGAGGAAAGUAGGAUUAUCUUAUGUCCUUUAUUCUCUAUAAGAAGCUAAAUAAAUGUUUAGUCGGUUAGUGUUCACCAGGGAAUCUGAAAUGUAUGAUAUAUGAAAACAGUUAGGUUGUAGACAAAGAGGUGAAGCACAUGUUGACUUAAGCUAGGAAAAUGUCAAGAAAGAUUGGAGUCUCCUGCCUGUAGAGAUCUGGAGGGUUGGGGGUUGUAGCUCAGUGCUUUACACUUGACUAGGAUGUCUGAGGCACUGGGUUCCCUCCCCAACCCUCAUCCCUCAAGCACACGAAGAUAUCUGGGGUAAUUUCAUGUAAAAAUUAUUCUCUGUUGAUACCCCAGAAAACUGGUUGCCAAAGGGGCCUCCUUGCCAUUUUGAUAUAACCUAGUUACUACUUGAUCCCUAAUAAAUCUAAAUUUAUCGUGAUUUAUCACAGUAAGUUGAACUAGAAACUAUCCGUUUUCCUAUGGUUUUGCCAAAUUGAAAAUAUUGGUAAGAUAGAUAUUAAUCAUUUUAAAAUGUUUAAUAAAUUUUCCUAUUUUUCAAAGUUCUAAAUUUAUUUAAAAAACUUGAAAUUUUAUAGGUGGGGUUAUCCAUUAGGGCUAUUUUCAAAGCUUCACAUUUUUAAGCUAAUUGUUUUUUAUUAAUUUACUGUUUACUUUCCUUGGCAGAUAAACGCCAACCUGCAGCUCUAAAGAUACAGCCGUACAGCUGUUUCUGUUUGUGUGGGUGUCCAUCACUGCCUCAGAUGAGUGGGUGGAGGAGGGUCUCUUUCCCGGUUUCCUCACAGUUCCCUCUGCGCACUGGAUCCCCAGUGAGAUCAGUGUGGGGGUUACUGAGAUAGCUGUGUUUCAGGUGUAGGUAACAAAGCUUAAUGUUUUAAAUGUUUUGUUUCACAAAAAUGCUUUUCAAGUACAGUGAAGUAGCCCAGGAGAUGCAUUACUCGGACAUACAGCUCUUGACAUCUGUGUUCACAAGUGCAUGUUUUUGGAAAUUACCUCUUGAAAAACAACUAAGGCUAAGGAUACAAAAACCUGCAUUUGUAGUAGUCCAGAAUUUUCCAUUGGUCCAUUAUACCAUGUAUGGAGAGGUGAAGACAAUUUUGUAUAUUUGUUACUAACUCAGAUCAUUAAAGUGAAAACACUUUUUUUAAAC
RNAcentral lists this long non-coding RNA (2059 nucleotides) under Rattus norvegicus (Norway rat). Its description in RNAcentral is "long non-coding RNA NONRATT019532". Lineage: Eukaryota; Metazoa; Chordata; Mammalia; Rodentia; Muridae. The record is from RNAcentral.